Molecule: ribosomal RNA, 508 nt
Filed under: Staphylococcus pseudintermedius
Lineage: Bacteria; Bacillati; Bacillota; Bacilli; Caryophanales; Staphylococcaceae
Description: partial 23S ribosomal RNA
Rfam family: Bacterial large subunit ribosomal RNA
Source: RNAcentral
CUAAGGCUAAAUACUCUCUAGUGACCGAUAGUGAACCAGUACCGUGAGGGAAAGGUGAAAAGUACCCCGGAAGGGGAGUGAAAGAGAACUUGAAACCGUGUGCUUACAAGUAGUCAGAGCCCGUUAAUGGGUGAUGGCGUGCCUUUUGUAGAAUGAACCGGCGAGUUACGAUCUGAUGCAAGGUUAAGCAGAAAAUGUGGAGCCGUAGCGAAAGCGAGUCUGAAUAGGGCGAAUGAGUAUUUGGUCGUAGACCCGAAACCAGGUGAUCUACCCUUGGUCAGGUUGAAGUUCAGGUAACACUGAAUGGAGGACCGAACCGACUUACGUUGAAAAGUGAGCGGAUGAACUGAGGGUAGCGGAGAAAUUCCAAUCGAACUUGGAGAUAGCUGGUUCUCUCCGAAAUAGCUUUAGGGCUAGCCUCAAGUGAUGAUUAUUGGAGGUAGAGCACUGUUUGGACGAGGGGCCCCUCUCGGGUUACCGAAUUCAGACAAACUCCGAAUGCCAAAUA